UGGGGAAUAUUGGACAAUGGGGGCAACCCUGAUCCAGCAAUGCCGCGUGUGUGAAGAAGGUCUUCGGAUUGUAAAGCACUUUCGACGGGGACGAUGAUGACGGUACCCGUAGAAGAAGCCCCGGCUAACUUCGUGCCAGCAGCCGCGGUAAUACGAAGGGGGCUAGCGUUGCUCGGAAUGACUGGGCGUAAAGGGCGUGUAGGCGGUUUACACAGUCAGAUGUGAAAUCCCCGGGCUUAACCUGGGAGCUGCAUUUGAUACGUGUAGACUAGAGUGUGAGAGAGGGUUGUGGAAUUCCCAGUGUAGAGGUGAAAUUCGUAGAUAUUGGGAAGAACACCGGUGGCGAAGGCGGCAACCUGGCUCAUGACUGACGCUGAGGCGCGAAAGCGUGGGGAGCAAACAGGAUUAGAUACCCUGGUAGUCCACGCUGUAAACGAUGUGUGCUAGAUGUUGGGUAACUUUGUUAUUCAGUGUCGCAGUUAACGCGUUAAGCACACCGCCUGGGGAUACGGGCCGCAAGGUUGAAAC
Molecule: ribosomal RNA, 528 nt
Filed under: uncultured bacterium
Lineage: Bacteria
Description: partial 16S ribosomal RNA
Rfam family: Bacterial small subunit ribosomal RNA
Source: RNAcentral